Molecule: long non-coding RNA, 1543 nt
Organism: Nasonia vitripennis (jewel wasp)
Lineage: Eukaryota; Metazoa; Arthropoda; Insecta; Hymenoptera; Pteromalidae
Exons: 3
Source: RefSeq, a predicted model, not a curated record
CAGUCAUCCUCUCGUCAGCACUCGCUCCAGAGCUCCCUCGAACGAUCGGCAGGAAAAAGAAUACUCGGCCUCGUCAAAUAAGGGCGAAGAAUCAACACCGCAAGCAAGCUCCGCGCUCGAUAUAUCCGAGCCCCGACGAGGCCUUCGCCGGACUGAGUCUCUAUAAGGGCUGCGGAUCCAGCGUCUCGCCGGCGGUGCGGCACGACGCAUGCCCGGGCAAGAAAACCCUUCGCAGCCUGGCCGAGCGGCGACGAAGGUGGGAGCGAAGCUCGGCCUCCAGCACACACCCACAGCCGCCUACUCCCUCAACCCCGGCGUCAUCUGAAAGUGAUGGCAAAUCAAUACCGCGCAGCAGCCACCGCCUGCGCGAUACCGUCCCUUGCACAGCCGGUAGCGCCGCUGAGCGAGGGUAGUGAGGGAGAGGAGGAGUGAUUCUUGCGGAAAGCGAGGAUGAUACGGUGAUGCGGUUUAUCCUCGAAUGCAGGAGAGCUUGCAACUGCUGAUGGAAGUUUUGUCGGAUGAAAAGUUGGGACGCAGACGGCUCUCGGCUGUGUUGCUGCUGCGGAUACAUGGAAAAUGUUUUAUUGGACGCUUCGGGAGGGAUGAGCAGCGUGGGACUGUACGUCCUGUGCUCGCUGCGGGGAAUGCUGAUGAGAGGAAGAUUGCGCUGUGUAAGGAUUCUAUAUUGGUGACUUCGCCGCUGCUGCGAGAUUCUGCAUGUAUUAUGCGAGAAUACGUAAGAAUUCGCGAGCAAGAGCUGAUUUAAUUAGUUCGCAGUGCUUCUAAUCUGGCGAUAGCGUGGAAUUUUGGGAUCGAUAUAAAUCAUGUCGAUGUUAUGACUUUCUUUUUUUAAUUGAUGACUUAACGAACAUUUCUACCGAGAGUAAUGCUGUCCAGACUGGCGCCAAGCGAUAUUAUGUUUGAUAGUGUCAGCUGAACCUUGAUGUGUCAAAAGCCAGCUGAAAAAUUUGCAACAACUUUCGACGAUAAAAAAUUAUAUAAAUAUAGCAUUGAAUUGUGCUUGCGGGACAAUUUAGGUUAUUGUUGAUUUAUCCGAAAGACCACCAGUAGACCAGAUGAUUUUGUUGAUGCUUGACUGAUAAUUUCAAACAGUUUGUAUGUUCAACUGGAUAUUGCGCAGUUUUAAUACAGUGUAGCAAUGAUAUCAAAUAUGUCUAUCGAAUUUUUCGGUAAAAAUCAAACUCUUGGUAAACAUCAGAUAAGGUACGCCAACAAAGAAUGUAAUAAUUCUAUAAAGUAAACCAAGUUUUAAUUCAAACAGAUUUAAUUAAUUCGAUAAAUCUUUUUCCUUGGAGCAUUUUGGUAAAAUCCCAUUGUUAUUUAAAUCGAAUAGCUUCGUGAACAUCCUCAAACUGCAGAAUCAUCGAAUGCGCAAAAAGCGAAUAGGUGAUGCAAAUGUGCAGCGCAUGCUGUACAAGGUAAAACGCGGACAAUUUAAAUCCUUCACACAAGUAAAAUGCGCAAUCAAAAUAAAUAAGAUAAACGAUUUCACGACGAUAAAGCUGUUUGUUUACAAGUCUCC